UACGGGAGCAGCAGUGAGGAAUAUUGCACAAUGGGCGAAAGCCUGAUGCAGCAACGCCGCGUGAGCGAUGAAGGCCUUCGGGUCGUAAAGCUCUGUCCUCAAGGAAGAUAAUGACGGUACUUGAGGAGGAAGCCCCGGCUAACUACGUGCCAGCAGCCGCGGUAAU
RNAcentral lists this ribosomal RNA (166 nucleotides) under Clostridiaceae bacterium L1-A07. RNAcentral's name for it is "partial 16S ribosomal RNA". It matches the Rfam family "Bacterial small subunit ribosomal RNA", at positions 340 to 524 of the family's 1533-position model. Lineage: Bacteria; Bacillati; Bacillota; Clostridia; Eubacteriales; Clostridiaceae. The record is from RNAcentral.